Molecule: ribosomal RNA, 462 nt
Filed under: uncultured bacterium
Lineage: Bacteria
Description: SSU rRNA
Rfam family: Bacterial small subunit ribosomal RNA
Source: RNAcentral
AGGAUUAACGCUGGCGGCGUGCCUAACACAUGCAAGUCGAACGAGGUAGCAAUACCUAGUGGCAGACGGGUGAGUAACGCGUGGUCAACCUACCGUUGAGUGGGGGAUAACUAGCCGAAAGGUUAGCUAAUACCGCAUACGAGUCUCGGGGGCAUCCCUGGGCCUUAAAAGGAGCAAUCCGCUCGAUGACGGGACCGCGUCCCAUUAGCUAGAUGGUGGGGUAAUGGCCUACCAUGGCUCCGAUGGGUAGCUGGUUUGAGAGAGCGACCAGCCACACUGGGACUGAGAAACGGCCCAGACUCCUACGGGAGGCAGCAGUGAGGAAUUUUCCGCAAUGGGCGAAAGCCUGACGGAGCGACGCCGCGUGUGGGAAGAAGGCCUUCGGGUCGUAAACCACUGUCGAAGGGGACGAUAAUGACGGUACCUUGGAGGAGCCCCGGCUAACUACGCGCCAGCAGCCGC